Molecule: long non-coding RNA, 272 nt
Organism: Sphaeramia orbicularis (orbiculate cardinalfish)
Lineage: Eukaryota; Metazoa; Chordata; Actinopteri; Kurtiformes; Apogonidae
Exons: 3
Source: RefSeq, a predicted model, not a curated record
AACAGAAUGUUUUUGCUCCUGCAGUAUUAUUUAUCCACAAAGCUAACGCAGACUCCAUCCUUACGAUGGUUUUGUUGAGGACAGUUCCAACCCUUUUUGCAUCCUUGUUCAAACUUAUUGCUGCUGUCGUCCUUCAGUUAUUUUCCUCCUCCUUUAUGUAACGAACUGAAGAUGCAUUUAUUCCAUAAUGGUCCUACAGCCGCCUAACCUCUCCCUUCCUUCAGUGUGUCCAGAAGUCCAACUGUUUGUGUGAUGGUUAGCAUCUCCCUCUG